UUCUCCCUUCUGACGAACCAUGAUGUCAUUUAUUUGGUGUUGUGGGGAAUCAGGACUGUUACUUUGAAAAAAUUAGAGUGUUUAAAGCAGGCUCACGCUUGAAUACAUUAGCAUGGAAUAAUGAAAUAGGACGUUUGAUUCUAUUUUGUUGGUUUCUAGGAUCGACGUAAUGAUUAAUAGGGAUAGUUGGGGGCAUUAGUAUUCAAUUGUCAGAGGUGAAAUUCUUGGAUUUAUUGAAGACUAACUACUGCGAAAGCAUUUGCCAAGGAUGUUUUCAUUAAUCAAGAACGAAAGUUAGGGGAUCGAAGACGAUCAGAUACCGUCGUAGUCUUAACCAUAAACUAUGCCGACUAGGGAUCGGAUGAUGUUAAUUUUUUAAUGACUCAUUCGGCGCCUUACG
RNAcentral lists this ribosomal RNA (400 nucleotides) under uncultured Glomeromycotina. RNAcentral's name for it is "SSU rRNA". It matches the Rfam family "Eukaryotic small subunit ribosomal RNA", at positions 694 to 1092 of the family's 1831-position model. Lineage: Eukaryota; Fungi; Glomeromycota. The record is from RNAcentral.